AAUAGAUACCCGGGUAGUCCAUGCCGUAAACGUUGGGCACUAGGUGUGGGGGACAUUCCACGUUUUCCGCGCCGUAGCUAACGCAUUAAGUGCCCCGCCUGGGGAGUACGGCCGCAAGGCUAAAACUCAAAGGAAUUGACGGGGGCCCGCACAAGCGGCGGAGCAUGCGGAUUAAUUCGAUGCAACGCGAAGAACCUUACCAAGGCUUGACAUGGACCGGAUCGCCGCAGAAAUGUGGUUUCUCCUUUUGGGGCCGGUUCACAGGUGGUGCAUGGUUGUCGUCAGCUCGUGUCGUGAGAUGUUGGGUUAAGUCCCGCAACGAGCGCAACCCUCGUUCCAUGUUGCCAGCGCGUAAUGGCGGGGACUCAUGGGAGACUGCCGGGGUCAACUCGGAGGAAGUGGGGACGACGUCAAAUCAUCAUGCCCCUUAUGUCUUGGGCUUCACGCAUGCUACAAUGGCCGGUACAAAGGGUUGCGAUACUGGUGAGGUGGAGCUAAUCCCAAAAAGCCGGUCCCAGUUCGGAUUGGGGUCUGCAACUGACCCCA
RNAcentral lists this ribosomal RNA (546 nucleotides) under uncultured bacterium. RNAcentral's name for it is "bacterial SSU rRNA". It matches the Rfam family "Bacterial small subunit ribosomal RNA", at positions 777 to 1320 of the family's 1533-position model. The record is from RNAcentral.